AGCCGUCUACUGUUAUAUUCGUAACUUAGAAAAAUCAUAACUUCCUCAUACGAAGUCAGUUUUGGACGAUCUUUUUAUGUAUGUUCACUGUUUAAUGAUAUCUACGACUUUCAUUUAGAUACUUAAGGCUAAAAAGUGUUGUAUUGGAGCUUCGCGUUUUUCGUUUAAUCGGUGUUGCCGGUUUUGUCGGAAAUCUUAGAAUAGUCAUAACUUCUUCGUUAUAACUCGGAUUUGUGUGUUCUUUAUAUGUAUGAAAACCUUGUUACGAUAUCUACCACUUAGUAUACUUAAUUACGGUUUUAUAAAAGUUUAAAUUUUGAACUGAAUUUUGCUGUUGUUACAUUAUCCCCCCCGUUAGAGAGAAUUUCGUCUCGGAAUUCGCAUUCUGACUGGGACUCCAACUCUUGCGGGUAGGCAUGAGUGCUUCUGGUCCAUUUGUUCCUCUUGUCUGUAUGAAUCUAGAUCCUAAUGUGUGUGUCUCAGUGGUCCUUCAUUACUCCGCCUAUCACUUCGAUCGAUCGGGAUUGUGUGGUUUUGGGUUUAUUUACUUAUGUUCUUCUAAAUGUUAGCAUACUCACUCGAUGCAUUAGGGCAACUACGUUUUGAAGUUCAUGGUUAAAUUCACUACUAGUUUCUGAGCUUGGAUUUGACUUGUUGUAUGCGUGGUAUUUCUAAAUGAUCUAUUGGGGGAUACUAUGGGAAGGUUGUAAAGAUAUAGUACUCCUCACAUGAGUACUUCGGGGUUUUGAAACUAGAAACCAAUUGGGAUUUGUGUCGGGUUUGUCGUUAUAAAUCGAUCGAGUUUCGUUAGUCGAUGGUUAAAGUGAAAGGGUCUUUUAUAACUAAUGGAACUGGUAUGGGUAGGGCCACAACAAACCACGUCGAAUGCCGAUGUCGGUACUUCUCAUUGUAAGACGUUCGCUAAUGGGAUAGUGCAUUCUACGUAUGUGUUUUCAGUGCUUUUUAGUCUAUCUCUAUUAUUACUACUAUGAAAGUUUUGUUUAAUGAUUAGGGUGUUUGUUCGAGUAGAUUUUUAACUUGUGACUCACGGAACUCCUCUGCGUCCCUACUAUCAAAUGGAAUGUAUGCAAAUAAGUUAUUGAGGAGAAAUGUACCCAAAAUAACUGUGGGGUCUGCAAUAGCCUCCUCUUGGCCCAUUGCGAAUACUCGGCCUCCUCUACUAGCAUUCGUGAUGUUUGACUCCAGGCAGUCCCUUCGGAAGUGUCCCGUUACUCCGCAUUCAUAACAAGCACGGUCUACUCCUACAUUUGUGGCUGGAGCAGUUAGUUGGGCUAGGUCUCUACAGUAGCGGACGGUGUGCCCCUUUCUAUUGCAACUAACGCAAUGCAAUUCACGGCAAGGUCUGUGAUGAUGGAAGUUGCAUCGGUUCCACUUAGGCUGGUUGCCGUUGUAUGGCCUUUUGGGUGUAGGGGUAUGGUUUGUUGAUUGCUUUUUGGCGUUUCUUUGAGUUGAUUUGCCUCCCCUCUCACUCCAAGAUUUUCGUUUCAUGUUCUUGUGUUCGUACCUUGCGGUAUUCUUAUAGGUAGCUAUUGGUAGGUGGCUUCGAUUGUUUCUUUGAUUAGGAUUUUCGAUAUCGUUUCCUUCCCUGCUUGAGUUGACAGAGUUAUUGUACGCUAUAAUGGCUGCCAUGGUGGCUAUAACUGUAGCUUGCAAAGUGGCGAUGUCCAAUUGUAGGAAUGGGGUUGCAUUGGUAAGGUGAUUAUUUCCGGCCCUUGCUGCGUUGCUAAAGUUUGCUUGAGACAGUGCAGCUACUACUGCCACAGUGAUAGCAGAUUGCACUAUGUUGGGGUCAUAUUGGGGAGGUGGUGGCGGGGUUGCGUUUCUACGUGCUGAUCUACGGGGAGACAUUGUUCUGAUAAGGAAAUAACAAGAAAAACUAUAAGUUUUAAUGAUUCGAAAGUCGCGCAUUAGUGAUUUGUUAUAUCAGAAGUUUGGUUUAUCCUUGAAUAGGGUUUUGAGUUCGGCUCAUAAGGAGAGUAGAUAAACUCAUGAAUUGGAGGGGCAUGCAAAGGGUUUAAUAAAGGAAAUACAUCAUAUAUAUUAUAAAACGUGGUGCGUUACAUUUUGUAGUUAGGAAAAUUUGACCUAUCUAAAGGUCUCCGAUUACAAGGUUAAGAAAAGUAAGGACUUUAUCCGAGGUCUUAUGUUAUGACAAAAUUUUGGAAGUCAGACAGGUAUUAUUUGUUACGCGAGCUGGCUACAUGGGCUUUAGAUUCCGCCAACUGACACUCCAUCUCGAGCAUACGUAGUUCAUGUCUUGCCUGGCGUGCCCGAAGUUCUAUCACUUCGGUUUGAGUUGCCGUUAGUUCUCUCUGCAACUCUUCAUUUCGAUUUACGAUUCUCCCGUGAGCUAAUUCUAACUGUCGGAUGCGAACUGUGUUGACUCCAGUGUUCGCAUCAUUCUCCUCAGUUCGAUGGAUGGUCGUCCGUCCUUGUUCACCAAUGCGAGAAAUCCGACGAACCAAUAUAGGGAGGGCUCUGUCUGCUGAGCCUCCCUCGCUUAGAUUGUAGAAGCUUCGGUCUCCGUUGAAUGGAAGGGGUUGAUCUUGUUCGCGGCUCCACCUAUUCAGGUUAGUUGCCCAAAGGGGCGCCGAGCCAUGAAAUUCCGGUCGAGGAUUAGGAUUUUGAAUUGGAGCCGUUAAGGGUAGGUUAUUGUCCUCGGGAUCUGAGUCUGAUUCUUCUUGCAUUCCUUCUUCAUGAUCAUUCUCUAUCCCUUCUCCAUUACCUUGGUUGGGGUAGUAGGGGUCAUCGGGGUGAUGGAAUCUAGCCAUUGAGUCUAUACGAGAAUAGGGUUAAGAAUUGACUACAAACUAAAGCACGUGGAAUUUACCCUUAAGUUUAAUGGUUGUAGGUAUUCGAAUACUCCCUUAGUAUUCUUUAACGAUUUGCUUUUGGUAUGUUUUAAAUUUGUUGUCCAUUGCAGACACUCCUUGGCAUACGUUAGUCGGCUCUCGGACAAAUAUAGUUGAUCAUGCUAUAUUCUUCCCAAUUCCGAUUACAUGUCCCAAGGCGUACCUGCACUGCACAACUUAUUUAUAAUACUUCUAUAUUGUUUUAAUUAUGAUACUGACCCUGUUGUAAAUAUGAAAUGAAUGCAAGCCUACUUUACAAAAACUAAAUAAAUUUAAUUUUUAAAAGUAUGACUCUUACUCAGAGUGUUUUUGCCCAGUUGUGUUUAUAGUUGUAUACCAAAAAUGGUUUUGAUAUACUUAAUUCACUAUAAACAAUGCUCUGAUACCAAUUUGUCACACCCCCAAACCAGAAUGGCGGAAACGUUCGGGGGCGGAGGACGUCAUAUUCAAUAUCAUAACAGUUCAUAGAAAGGAAAGUGCACACCACCAUACAUAAAGGUUUUAAAAAUGUAUACAUCAUUGUAUUCAUUACAUGCCCAAAAGAUAAAUACAUAAACAUCUUUCAAAAGAAGUAAUUAACGUCAGCACGUUUAAUCCCCAAAAGUUGAUUUCCAAACUUGCUUAGCGGUUCCCUGAGAAUACAAGUUAUUUCAAAGAGAAAGUGUCAACAAUUAAGUUGGUGAGUUCAUCAGUAGUGUUUUGAGAAAAUGUACGCCAUUCGAAAGUUCGUGUAUGUUUUCCAGAAAACGCAGUGUUUCAAAUGUAAAGAGUUAUGAUUUGUUGUGUUGAAAAUGAAUGUAUUAGAUCCAGAAAAUCCCAUAUUUUCCCUAAUAGUUGAGAUAUGAUUUGUUGUGUUUUCCAAGAAAAACCCUUAUUUUCUUAUAAAAGUAUGAAAUGCAUAUGAAUGUUCGUGUUAUAAGUUGUAAACAAUUGCACCAGGAAAAUCCCUUAUUUUCCUAUUAGUUGUUUGUUCUAGAUGCGGGAAAAACCCUUAUUUUCCUAAAGUAACUGGCAGUCUCUAAGACCGAAAAUCGCAAGCAACCGACGUGCUUAAAAGGUGUGGCAUAGUUUUAUAUAAUAAAGCUAUACGAAGAUCGCACUUGUUAGAUGAAGAAUAGUUUUAGUAACUACUUGUUCAUAAAAGCAUAAUACCAUAAUAAUUGUAUAUCCGAUGAGUUUUAUAACCAUAUUGAACGUAAUAUGCCUGUAACGACGUUCUUCAGGCGUCGUAGCGUUAUGAAAAACUGUCACCCCAAAGGACGGACUGUAGCUAACAGUCUGGGCGCGGGAUCAUGACUUCCCGUAUAGAUCUAUACACAUUUGACACGUUCUCCGAACGGGAGACUCUGGUUAUAGACAGGACUUGAAGCGGUACCUUUUAGCAAAAAGGUAUUAUUUGAAGAUGUACACGUCUCACGGAUUCUCAACUAAGUCUGUAUUAAAGUAGUAGUUUUGUAUGCAAAGUUUAUCCUUUUUCACAAUGUUUGACAAAGCAUAAAUCAUAAGUUCUUUGAAUGCAUAAAAUGAUUUAUUAAAGAAUGUUACCCUUGAUAUGAUGUAUUUGUAUGUAAACGUAUAAAUAAAACAUUAUUUCUAUUUAUAAAACAUAUUGUAUCCCAAGAGGGUAAAGCUGUGUUGUGAGGUGUUUUGCAUGAUGAUGACUUCAUAAGAUAGUUAAAACAACAGUAUGAAAAGUAUAGCAAAAGAUCGAUGUUUCACACGAUUUUAGUCGUGUGUUUACUUGUAUCCCCCCCUUAAAAGUGUUUAAAAAUCAUUUAAAGAUCAUUUAAAGUGUGGUUGUAGGGGUAUGAACUCACUUGAUAGAUUGAAGAAGGCGAGACGAAAACCGAGCAGAACUUCUACUCGAGAAAGCGGAUUUUCUCGGGAUUCUCGGGAAUCUCGGUAGUGUGAAACUUUCUUCCCACCUUGGAUAUGAAAACCGGGCCUUUGGGAUGACUCCAAGGGUUGAACCGCAGAGCUUCGGCGCGAGAAAGGAAGGAAAUUAGCAAAUUUGGCCGGCACCCUCGCAUCCCUUUUAUAGGGUCUGGAAGCCUCGCGUACCUGGGGCGUACGAGACGUCAUGGCUUACCGCAUCCUCAGAAGAAGCAUCGAAGCGACGUGGACAAUCCAAUGCCUAGCAUCCGAGUACGCGGGGCGUACGACGGUACGCUGGGCGUACGAGGGACCGGACCGCUGACUCGUUCUUCGGAUAAUACCGGGGUUUUAAUUAAAUUUAUAUAUUUAUUAUUUAGCAAACUUCUAAAAUUCAUAUCUCCUUCAUACGAACUCCUUUUUCGACGUUCUUUAUAUCCACGCGUAGGUGAGACUAAGAUCUACAACUUUCGUUUAGAUUCCGUUGGCAAAUUCUGAAAUUAUUUUUAUUAUUUAUUUUUAAAAGGUCGUGUUUUAAGGAAUUUUUCUUUAGAAAUUCAUAACUUCUUUAUCUAACGUCCGCUUCCGUCAGUCUUUUUACCGUUGCGCUUCUAUUGUUGAGACCCUCAAUUCUCAUUUAGUUUGCGUCGGCUAAAUGUCUCUCGAUCUCUAUUUCGAGUUUUUAGCCGUCUACUGUUAUAUUCGUAACUUAGAAAAAUCAUAACUUCCUCAUACGAAGUAAGAUUUGGACGAUCUUUUUAUGUAUGUUCACUAUUUAAUGAUAUCUAUGACUUUCAUUUAGAUACUUAAGGCUAAAAAGUGUUGUAUUGGAACUUUGCGUUUUUCGUUUAAUCGAUGUUGCCGGUUUUGUCGGAAAUCUUAGAAUGGUCAUAACUUCUUCGUUAUAACUCGGAUUUGUGUGUUCUUUUUAUGUAUGAAACCUUGUUACGAUAUCUACCACUUAGUAUACUUAAUUACGGUUUUAUAAAAGUUUAAAUUUUGACCUGAAUUUUGCUGUUGUUACAUUGGCUGGAAGGAAAGCGAAAAAAAAUCAAUCAGGAAAAUUCUCUCAAGAACAAAUCAAGGUUGCUUAUGAGAAGUAUCUAAAUGAAUCAUCAAAUGGAAGUUCAUCAUCAAUAGAUUUGAAUCCUACUAUUGAAAAGUGGCGAGCAAUUCCAAAAGAAAAAGUCAGU
This 5938-nucleotide long non-coding RNA is filed under the name Lactuca sativa (garden lettuce). RNAcentral's name for it is "long non-coding RNA (LSAT_LNC004370)". The record is from RNAcentral. Lineage: Eukaryota; Viridiplantae; Streptophyta; Magnoliopsida; Asterales; Asteraceae.